Molecule: ribosomal RNA, 585 nt
Filed under: uncultured bacterium
Lineage: Bacteria
Description: bacterial SSU rRNA
Rfam family: Bacterial small subunit ribosomal RNA
Source: RNAcentral
CUACGGGAGGCAGCAGUAGGGAAUCUUCCACAAUGGGCGAAAGCCUGAUGGAGCAACGCCGCGUGAGUGAAGAAGGAUUUCGGUUCGUAAAACUCUGUUGUAAGGGAAGAACAAGUACAGUAGUAACUGGCUGUACCUUGACGGUACCUUAUUAGAAAGCCACGGCUAACUACGUGCCAGCAGCCGCGGUAAUACGUAGGUGGCAAGCGUUGUCCGGAAUUAUUGGGCGUAAAGCGCGCGCAGGUGGUUUCUUAAGUCUGAUGUGAAAGCCCACGGCUCAACCGUGGAGGGUCAUUGGAAACUGGGAGACUUGAGUGCAGAAGAGGAUAGUGGAAUUCCAAGUGUAGCGGUGAAAUGCGUAGAGAUUUGGAGGAACACCAGUGGCGAAGGCGACUAUCUGGUCUGUAACUGACACUGAGGCGCGAAAGCGUGGGGAGCAAACAGGAUUAGAUACCCUGGUAGUCCACGCCGUAAACGAUGAGUGCUAAGUGUUAGGGGGUUUCCGCCCCUUAGUGCUACAGCUAACGCAUUAAGCACUCCGCCUGGGGAGUACGGUCGCAAGACUGAAACUCAAAGGAAUUGACG